GCAUAUUGUUAUAUAUUGCAAUGCUCUGCUACGCGAAACCUGAAACAUGAUGCAGAUAAAAGGCAACAAUCCAUCAAAAUGAACGUGACCUGUUGUCGAUAGGGGCGCAACUUUAGCAAACGCUCCUAUGGGUCGUAUUUCAUGAAUUAAAAUGAAAGUGUCCUGUUGUCGAUAGGGGCGCAACUUUAGUAAACGCUCCUACGGGUCGUAUUUCCCAAGGACAACAGCGCCAGACCAAAAGCCUGUGGCCGGAAGUGGGCGAAGUAACAGUCUCACGCCGUAUGUGGGCGGGGUUAGCGACAAAAACAAUGGCGGAAGACGAGAAUACGGUAAAAAGUUUCUUUCUGUUAUGUUUUAAUCGAUCACGUUUAUUUAUUGGUUACAUUUUCUAAUACUCACCAAUGUUUAUGUGGAUUUUUAGAGGCAUAUUAGGAUUCGGAGAGGAUUCAUUUGCAGCGAUGCAAAUCCCAGUGUUUACUGACGGCACAGGUUGAAUGCACACCUUCAAAUUCACUUCAAAAAGGCUGUUGUCCAUGGAGUGCAGUAAAUUGACAAGCAGAAUCACCCCAGAACAAUGGAAGCUGGUCAAAAACAAGAAGGUUCCACAACAGUUGGCCGGCUCUAUUGACUGUGGGAUCUUCAUGUUAAUGGAGCCACUGAUCACAGAAGACCUCUGCGCUGCACUUAAACAGCUGCACAACAACCAAAAGUCUUCAAAGGUUUAGUGGAAGAGCUGUGCUUUCUGAUAUUGAAAGAGGAGGACCAGGAAAAAGCCCCUCUUCAACUUUCACAGGCUGAAACGGAUGAUGACAGACAACUGGCCAAAGAGCCUUUAGUGUUUUGCUUCCAAAUUAAGGAUGAUAUGGACAUUUUUCUUAAUGAGUGUCUGGACAAAAAUGUUUAUGGAGAAUUUUUUUUUUUUUUUUUUUUUUUAAAUAUAUUUAAUUUGUCAUCAUGUACCUGCUGUGCAAUAAUUUGUUCAAUUUACUCUCUUUUUUUUAUUUUAUACUUUUUGUUUUAGAGCAAAGCACAGCUAGUAUAUGAUGCAUUUGAUACUUAGGGGGAAAAGUAAAUUUUAUUAAUUAAAUAACUUUUGUGUUUUGGUUUUGAUAGAUCUGAAUUUGCUUAAUUCAUGUAAUCUAGUGUACAACUGUGUAAUGUGUAUUAUGUACUAUAAAAAAUGGUUCAUUCAUCAUGAAAUGCUUGAGUAAAAUAUACAUUUUACGUCAAAUAAAUAAAUGUUUGUCAUUUUUAGUGUUUAAGCUUUGUGUUCAAUUUAUAUUCAGUUAAUCAUUUGUGAAAUAAAUUGCUGAACUUUAACUUUAAAAAAUAUUUAAAAGGUUACAAGGGGGUUUAAUACAACAUGU
Molecule: long non-coding RNA, 1367 nt
Organism: Ctenopharyngodon idella (grass carp)
Lineage: Eukaryota; Metazoa; Chordata; Actinopteri; Cypriniformes; Xenocyprididae
Exons: 4
Source: RefSeq, a predicted model, not a curated record